This 409-nucleotide ribosomal RNA is filed under the name Actinomycetes bacterium. Its description in RNAcentral is "Actinobacteria bacterium partial 16S ribosomal RNA". It matches the Rfam family "Bacterial small subunit ribosomal RNA", at positions 355 to 776 of the family's 1533-position model. Lineage: Bacteria; Bacillati; Actinomycetota; Actinomycetes. The record is from RNAcentral.
UGGGGAAUAUUGCACAAUGGGCGGAAGCCUGAUGCAGCGACGCCGCGUGGGGGAUGAAGGCCUUCGGGUUGUAAACUCCUUUCGACAGGGACGAAGCUUUUGUGACGGUACCUGUAUAAGAAGCACCGGCUAACUACGUGCCAGCAGCCGCGGUAAUACGAAGGGGGCUAGCGUUGUUCGGAUUUACUGGGCGUAAAGCGCACGUAGGCGGACUUUUAAGUCAGGGGUGAAAUCCCGGGGCUCAACCCCGGAACUGCCUUUGAUACUGGAAGUCUUGAGUAUGGUAGAGGUGAGUGGAAUUCCGAGUGUAGAGGUGAAAUUCGUAGAUAUUCGGAGGAACACCAGUGGCGAAGGCGGCUCACUGGACCAUUACUGACGCUGGGGUGCGAAAGCGUGGGGAGCAAACAGG